AGGAAAAUUAUUAGGGUUGAUGCAAAAGUAAUUCCGGUUUUGGCCAUUACAAAAAAGUAAUGGCAUUUACUUUGGAAUUACUUUUGCACCCACCUAAUACUU
Molecule: microRNA precursor, 102 nt
Filed under: Chlorocebus sabaeus (green monkey)
Lineage: Eukaryota; Metazoa; Chordata; Mammalia; Primates; Cercopithecidae
Description: miRNA (ENSCSAG00000022743.1)
Source: RNAcentral